GUACGGUAUUGGAAGCAUAAGGACCUUAUCUUUCAUAUCAGCGAGAAAUCAUUUUCAAAAAACAAAAGAUGAAAUUGAUACAUACCUUGGUAGGGUUAGGGUUCCCACAUGGUCAUAUUUCCACGUUACAGCGCUUAUUUACAUAAAACUGACAGAAGACAAGAUGCUAACCUGUGCUAAUUAGCCACUCCGCAUGCUCAGAACACAUUUGCGUAAAAGCGUAACUCGGGAAGUGUACUUUCGUUAGAUGGAGGCGCUCAUUGCUGUGUGUAUCUGAGAAAAACUGCUACAGGCCGUGGGGUGAGACAGGGAUGCAGCUUAAGCCCCACCCUCUUCAACAUAUAUAUCAACGAAUUGGCAAGGGCACUAGAACAGUCUGCAGCACCCGGCCUCACCCUACUAGAAUCUGAAGUCAAAUGUCUACUGUUUGCUGAUGAUCUGGUUCUUCUGUCACCAACCAAGGAGGACCUACAGCAGCACCUAGAUCUUCUGCACAGAUUCUGCCAGACCUGGGCCCUGACAAUAAAUCUCAAGCCCACAUCAUCACAGCAGGCCUCCCCAGUGCAACAACUUGUCUAUCUAUCUGGUGGCGUGCAGAGGACAGGCUAGCUGGUUGGCUGCUGAGGUUUGGACCAGCACCAGCCUGACUUAUUGAUCUGGUUGCAUCACUGCCUGGUAUGGCAACUGCUCGGCCUCCCACCGCAAGGCACUACAGAGGGUAGUGCGUACGGCCCAGUACAUCACUGGGGCCAAGCUUCCUGCCAUCCAGGAUAUCAGGCGGCAUCAGAGGAUGGCCCUAAAAAUUGUCAAAGACUCCAGCCACCCUAGUCAUAGACUGUUCUCUCUGCUACUGCACGGCAAGCGGUACCAGAGCACCAAGUCUAGGUCCAAAAGGCUUCUUAACAGCUUCUACCCCCAAGCCAUAAGGCUCCUGAACAGCUAAUCAAAGUGCUACCCAGACCCCUCUUUUACGCUGCUGCUACUCUCUGUUUAUUAUCUAUGCAUAGUCACUUUAAUAACUCUACCUACAUGUACUUAUUACCUCAAUUACCUUGACACCGGUGCCCCCGCAAUUUGACUCUGUACCGGUACCCCCUGUAUAUAGCCCUGCUAUUUUUAUUUACUGCUG
This 1129-nucleotide long non-coding RNA is filed under the name Salmo salar (Atlantic salmon). RNAcentral's name for it is "lncRNA (ENSSSAG00000109992.1)". Lineage: Eukaryota; Metazoa; Chordata; Actinopteri; Salmoniformes; Salmonidae. The record is from RNAcentral.